RNAcentral lists this unclassified non-coding RNA (2607 nucleotides) under Leishmania donovani. RNAcentral describes it as "gene:LdHU3.33.3470(CDS-product:udp-glc_4'-epimera se-_putative)". Lineage: Eukaryota; Euglenozoa; Kinetoplastea; Trypanosomatida; Trypanosomatidae. The record is from RNAcentral.
AGUGGAGAGAAGAGAGUGCGCAAGCAAGCACACCAUUGAAAGCAAAAGGCAUCACAGAGUUCCAAGGAUUACACACACACACACACACACACACACAGCAACCAAUGAGGGUACUUGUCUGUGGUGGUGUGGGGUACAUUGGUACGCACUUUGUACGCGAGCUGCUGCGUUACAGUCCCCAUGAUGUGAUCAUUGCCGACAGCCUCGAGGCCACUCACGGUUCUGAUGUGCACGUGGACACGGAGAAAAACUAUGCUGCACGAAACCCUGGCGCAAACUUAGAGGAGGUGAAGAGGAGCGGCUACCGUUUCGCAAAGCUGGAGGUGGGCGACGUGCGCGAUGUCAACUUUCUCGAGCACGUCUUCACCACACACGCGCCGAUCGAUGCUGUGGUGCACAUGUGUGCACACAUUGUGGUGCCGGAGAGCGUGCGCGACCCGCUUCGGUACUACGACAACAACGUCGUUGGUAUGCUGCGCAUCUUGCAGACCAUGCUCAAGUACAAGUGCGACAAGCUCAUUCUCUCCAGCACGGCUGCUCUCUUCGGUAACCCUUACGCUCGCAUGAAGGCUGGCUCGACCGAUGAGCCGGACCCGAUGAAACCUAUCCAGUCCAACGCCAAGUGCAUGCCGGAGAGUCCGUAUGGCACGACCAAGCUGGUGGACGAGUACAUGCUGAAGGACUGCGCUGCCGCCUACGGUAUCAAGAGCGUGUGCCUGCGCUACUUCAAUGCGUGCGGCGCCGACGCCGAGGGAGACAUUGGCGAGACCCACGAGCCCGAGUCGCAUCUUAUCCCGCUCAUCCUGCGCGUGCCGCUGGCGGACAAGAUUAACGCCUACAACGCUGUGCACCAUCCGGACCGCCAAAAGGUGAACGACUACAUCUCCAUCUUCGGCACCGACUACCCAACUCCGGACGGCACGUGCAUUCGUGAUUACGUGCACGUGAAGGAUCUGUCCUCGGCCCACGUACGGGCGCUGGACUACCUGGCUAAGCUGACCCCCGACGACAAGGACAAAUUCUUUUCCACGUUCAACCUUGGCACGUCGAAGGGCUACUCAGUGCGCGAGGUCAUCGAGGCGGCGCGGCGCGUAACGGGACACCCGAUUCCGGAAAGGGAGGAGAAGCGCCGCGACGGCGACCCCCCGGUGCUCGUGGCAUCCGGCGAGGAGGCGGCGGCAGCACUUGGAUGGAAUCUGGAGUACAAAUCGAUCGACAAGAUUAUCGACUCCGCUUGGAAGUUUCACAGCAAGCACCCUGUCGGCUAUGAGCUCCACUAAGCUGCACGAAACGCUGAACACACGCCUGCUGGGCUCCAAAGGCAUGCUAAUGCAACAGGGGGGGGGCUAACACGUAUGCACGAACGUUAACAUGCACCCACCCAUGGCUUCGCUCCGCCUCGUCAGCGUUGAAGCUGUCUUGACCCCCGCCCUUUCGAAGAUACGUCACCCUGAAUAUUUCAGGGAGGUCCUUUGUCUCUCUCUUGGAUGUGUUUGUGUAUUUUGCCUAUGUUGGUGCCCUCUCACGGGCUGUCUCUUCGCAUUCGUUCUUCCUUGCAUGUGCCAGCAUCGGUGCGCUGCGUGCCCACGGAUUCGCAUCCGCCGCUCAGUUUGCAGAGCUGCCGAAAAAAUGUGUUUGCCUUUAUUUCUUUCAAAGUGUCCAUUCUACCGUAGAACAUCCGUUAAAGAUCACUCUAUCCGGCCUGCCACAGCCCCCCUCCCUCCCCAUCGCGUGGUGCCACGCAGCCGCAGGCGCGCACGGUACAGCAAUGCGCCGGCGCAUUCAUCGGAGCACGGCCCCUGCGUCACACACCACACCCACCCACACGCGCUCUUCAGGUCGCCUCACAGCCGCGGCCGCUAUGCCGCUCGCCAUUCGAUGCAUCCCCCUCGGGGUGGCACUCGGGCUCCCCCCCUCUCUCCACCUCUGUAGGCAGCGUGAGGGCCAGGCGGGAUGAGCUCGAUUCACGCUGCCAUGCUAUAUGCGCGGUACACACGUGUUCGCUGCCGCAGGUCGCUCCAACGCAACGCCGAUCCACGACCUGACCGCCGGCAUGCCCGUGGCGAUGCACCGCUCUGACCCCCUCACACCGUAGGUGCUUGACCGUGUCGCCACCGGAAGCGCGGCGUUCGGCACUUGACAGGGAUACUGUGGAGGGGGGGCUGCAUGGCUUCCCCACAGAGAGUGAGGGUGCACUGGCCCUUGUGGUGCCACGCACUGAGGGGUGUCGUCCCCGUCAUCCGCGGAGGAGAAAACGAGGGGAAUGGAACAGAAAAAGGACACGACGCUGCUCGGUCCCACACGAAUGUGCGCACGCAACUCAGUGAAUCGAAGCCGGCCGGCGGUGCGCCGGUGUUUUAGUGAUGUGCCUUUUUUCACUUCUCAUUGACAAUGACAGAGGCAAUUGUAGAAGAAGCAAAGAGGCGGAUGAGGAGGAGGGCUUGGCGAAAUCGUGUGCCCGAGUACUUCCACGGCACCCCGCGCAAAUGUGGCCCAUCGUGCAUAGCCAUCUCCCGUGCGCACCCCUCUCUCUCACGACGUUGCCCUCGACCUUCCAUCCACUCUUGUGUUUCUCUUCUCCGUAUUCAAUGCCGCCUCCAUCUACAG